UACGUAGGGUGCAAGCGUUGUCCGGAAUUAUUGGGCGUAAAGAGCUCAUAGGCGGUUUGUCGCGUCUGCUGUGAAAACUCGGGGCUUAACUCCGGGCCUGCAGUGGGUACGGGCAGACUAGAGUGCGGUAGGGGAGACUGGAAUUCCUGGUGUAGCGGUGAAAUGCGCAGAUAUCAGGAGGAACACCGGUGGCGAAGGCGGGUCUCUGGGCCGUAACUGACGCUGAGGAGCGAAAGCGUGGGUAGCAAACAGG
This 253-nucleotide ribosomal RNA is filed under the name uncultured bacterium. Its description in RNAcentral is "partial 16S ribosomal RNA". It matches the Rfam family "Bacterial small subunit ribosomal RNA", at positions 524 to 776 of the family's 1533-position model. The record is from RNAcentral.